GACGAACCGUGCGAACGUUAAUCGGAAUCACUGGGCGUAAAGCGCGCGUAGGCGGUCUGUUAAGUGGGAUGUGAAAUCCCCGGGCUUAACCUGGGAAUUGCAUUUCAAACUGGCCGACUAGAGUACGGUAGAGGGAGGUAGAAUUUCCUGUGUAGCGGUGAAAUGCGUAGAUAUAGGAAGGAAUACCAGUGGCGAAGGCGGCCUCCUGGAUCGAUACUGACGCUGAGGCGCGAAAGCGUGGGGAGCAAACAGG
This 253-nucleotide ribosomal RNA is filed under the name uncultured bacterium. Its description in RNAcentral is "partial 16S ribosomal RNA". It matches the Rfam family "Bacterial small subunit ribosomal RNA", at positions 524 to 776 of the family's 1533-position model. The record is from RNAcentral.